Molecule: long non-coding RNA, 558 nt
Filed under: Homo sapiens (human)
Lineage: Eukaryota; Metazoa; Chordata; Mammalia; Primates; Hominidae
Description: non-protein coding lnc-TTC31-4:2
Source: RNAcentral
AGACCCGGCUUUUUCGACGCCGAGCUGCCGCCCAGCCCCAAUGGCAGGGCCUUCCAGGGAGUCCCAGUCAGACUGCUCCCCAGCUCCCGCAGCUGCUCGGUCCCUGCAAAGCCCCCGGGAGCGUUUCUACUCUCCCCUGAGCCCACGCCAUCCCGUCACUCCUAGGAAACUUUUCGCGCAGAAACUCCUGGAGAACAGCCCCGGCCGCCAGGAAAGAAGCGUACCCAGGCCGUCUGCUGUGUGCCCACCCCGAUCCCCAUCAGUGCCCCACGCACUCGAGCUCUUCUUCGGCGUCUGCAGCCUCUUCAUCCGCGCGGAGAGGCGGAGGUCUCCCGGAAACAGUGUCCGACUGUGGCACCCCAGAGCGUCCAAUGCGAGCUCAGGCCUUUCCCGCAAGUCUGGAGUUUUCUUAUCCAGUUGAGGCCGCCUUCGCUGUACUCACUCUCUGCCUCCCACCCCAUCUUCUGCCACCCGACCUCCAUCUUUGAUGGUUAGCGCCUUCAGCCCUCAACAGCUUCGCACAACCAACCCCUAGAAGCCGUGGAGUCAGACCGGCCA